CCUACGGGCGGCAGCAGUCGAGAAUCAUUCACAAUGGGGGAAACCCUGAUGGGGCGACGCCGCGUGGGGGAAUGAAGGGCUACGGAGUGUAAACCCCUGUCAUGUGGGAGCAAAUUAAAAAGAUAGGACCACAAGAGGAAGAGAAGGCUAACUCUGUGCCAGCAGCCGCGGUAAUACAGAGGUCUCAAGCGUGGUUCGGAAUCACUGGGCGUAAAGUGUGCGUAGGAUGUUUCGUAAGUCGUGUGUGAAAGGCGCGGGCUCAACCCGCGGACGGCACCUGAUACUGCGAGACUAGAGUAAUGGAGAGGGAACCGGAAUUCUCGGUGUAGCCGUGCAAUGCGUAGAUAUC
Molecule: ribosomal RNA, 349 nt
Filed under: uncultured bacterium
Lineage: Bacteria
Description: partial 16S ribosomal RNA
Rfam family: Bacterial small subunit ribosomal RNA
Source: RNAcentral